AGACCAUUUGGCACAAAGGAUACUUUAAGAAGCCGAAAACAUACUCCUCACUCAUUGCAUGACUUCAAGGCAGACAUAAUAAAAAGGUGUAUAGAAGAGGUUGUUAAGGAGUUCAAUUUUAUAUCUUGAUCAGCAUCUGGACCCAUCAUCAAAGUUGUUGCAGAUAAAAUGGGCAAGAAAUAAGGGAUAUCUUGGAGCGCUGGCCUGCAUUAUCAGGUGCAACAGAGAUAAAUGAAGAAUUCAAGAGGAUAACCACUGUAGGUCUUGAAUCCACAUUUAUGGCCAAACUUGACAAACGCACCCAAAACUAAUGGACCUGGCCUCAUCCAGGGGAGGAGCUAAAGGGGAAAGAAUCAGAAGGAUUAAGGAUAUGCUUCUUGAGAACAAUGCAGUUGAAGUAUGGAGAGAAGUAGCCAUUCACUGUCUUGUUGUCUAUCUUGGAGAGAAAGAAGAGGAUCUUUUUAAGGAGUUUGCUCUAAUCUAUUUUUUUUAUCUUGCUUUACAAGAAUACACAAGAAUUAUUGGUGAUCUGUCAACUAUGGAAUUAAACCACAAGACGGGAACCAUCAUUGUUGAGAAUCCUGAUUGGAAUGGAUAACUCAAGGUGUUGUGCUCUGCUAACGGGCAUAAUAUAUGCUCUGAAUCUGAGCUACCCCAAGGAGCUUAAAUAUACUUGUUAAGUGUUUCAGAAGCUGUUUCUUGAACUUGAUGGACUGAAGCCCAGUGUAAAAGUAAUGCGUCUCAAGAACAGCAUUUUCUGAAGCCUCUACUUAUUUCAAAGUACAUUUUGCUCUUUAUGUUGCAACUAUAUUGUUUUGUAUUUUGAAGUCCACAUGCUGAUCUUUUUAAUUUCAUACUGUUUAUAUGAAUGGUGGCAUUUACAUAUGUUUGUUUAUAAUAAUACAAAUGUUACAUGCUUUACAAUUAAGGUUAGCUAAUAACAAGUAGUUUGUAAAAUGUAGAAUUUAUAAGUUAAUAGUUAGCUUUAAGUGUAUCAAUGCCUAUAACUCUUGUUUUGUUGGAAUUCAUUGUGAUGGCAUAGCUAUGCAUGCAUGCACAUUUUUGAAGGCAAAGCUGACGGGUCAGUUUGUUUAUAAUUUGUGAGACAGUACACAUUUGUGUUUUGUAAACUUUGAGAAGUGCAAUAUUUAAAUUAAAACACUGAAAACUGUGUUUCUAAAUGAAUAAAAAGUUACUGAAAGUAAAA
RNAcentral lists this long non-coding RNA (1207 nucleotides) under Danio rerio (zebrafish). Its description in RNAcentral is "si:rp71-1d10.6 (ENSDARG00000103788.2)". Lineage: Eukaryota; Metazoa; Chordata; Actinopteri; Cypriniformes; Danionidae. The record is from RNAcentral.